GGGGACUCCCCGCUGCUGUCUCUUCCCAAAAAUGAACCAAAGCAUCAUCUUAGCACAGAGAACAUGCCAGUUGCAGCUGAAAGCCUCACGGUUGUUCUGUGUCGCCCAGGAAGACCCCUGGGGCCUGCACAUGGACACGGGCCCUGAGGCUUUCCUGUCCCGUCCAGCCUCCUUCCUCUCCCUCUGUGCUUCCUCCUGCGACCACUGGCAUGGCCUCUCUUCCCGGCCCUGGGGCUGUGGCACGGGCUGCUCCCCUGCCUGGAAUCCUUUCCCACAGGUGUUAUCUCUGCAGAGACCCUGCCCACCAUCCUGCACCACACCCCACCCUCUGCUCACGCUGAUUGGAGGCGCUUUUCCUGCACUGGUUUUCCUCGGCGCACCAGCCCCGUCUGGUAUGAAGCCCAUGCUGCCCCAGGGCAGUGGUUCUGUCUGUUUCGGUGCGUGGAGCCCUGUCUGGCACAGAGCAUGAACUCACAUGACAACAAACUGAAACAGAACUGAAUACAAUCACUGCACAUGUGUCGCUUAGAAAUGGGGGGAAAUGAGGAAGAAACAGGAGAUCACCACAGGCCAAUAUAGAUGGGCACAGACAGCAGCCACACAGGUGGGAUCUGGAGAGAAUGAGGAUCCUGGAGUCACCUGGAGCGGAUCAAGGCCUGGCUUCAUCAGAAACCUCUCCCAUCUGUCCUCUAAAGUCACAACCUUUGUGGAUGCUGUAACAAGUGGGUGUGAAUGACAGAAAGAGGCUGUUUCCAUAUCAGUCCCUGAGCUGCCAUAUGCCUAACAGAGUGGUGGAUGUUACUGGCAUUAGUAUUUCCUGGGUGGUGUUAGAAGAUCCAGGCCGAAAGGAGAAACCAGACAAUUUGGCAAGACACAGAUCAAACCAGGAGCCAGAGCAAGUCCCUCUCAUUGUUUCAAGGCAAGAACUCAGCCACCACUGUCCUCCUCUGCAUCCUCAUGCAGGACGGUUGAAACUGACCAGAUGAAGCUCAGGAGAUGGAAAGAAGUCAUGAGAGCCAAGCCUCUAAAGCCCUGCUAGAUACUCUGGGCAUGAGUCCCCAACCACUCACUUAGGUGACCCCUCCUACCAAACCACAGGCAUGCAUAGAUAUGGGGAACCCUCCUCUCUGGGGUCAAAGCGCUAUGGGCUACUCUCCACAUAAACAAUGUAGUAAUAUUUCCAUUUUACAUAGAAAAAAAACGAAAGUCAUGAACUGUUAUACUCUGAUUAGA
This is a long non-coding RNA of Bubalus bubalis (water buffalo), 1233 nucleotides long. RefSeq lists it as uncharacterized. The transcript has 3 exons. The record is from RefSeq and is a predicted model, not a curated record. Lineage: Eukaryota; Metazoa; Chordata; Mammalia; Artiodactyla; Bovidae.